UACGGAGGGGGUUAGCGUUGUUCGGAAUUACUGGGCGUAAAGCGGGCGUAGGCGGGCUGUUAAGUCGGGGGUGAAAUCCCGGGGCUUAACCCCGGAACUGCCUCCGAUACUGGCAGGCUUGAGGUCAAGAGAGGUGAGUGGAACUCUAAGUGUAGAGGUGAAAUUCGUAGAUAUUCGGAGGAACACCAGUGGCGAAGGCGGCUCACUGGCCCGAUACUGACGCUGAGGCGCGAAAGUGUGGGGAGCAAACAGG
Molecule: ribosomal RNA, 253 nt
Filed under: uncultured bacterium
Lineage: Bacteria
Description: partial 16S ribosomal RNA
Rfam family: Bacterial small subunit ribosomal RNA
Source: RNAcentral